This 843-nucleotide long non-coding RNA is filed under the name Homo sapiens (human). RNAcentral describes it as "DST antisense RNA 1 (DST-AS1)". The record is from RNAcentral. Lineage: Eukaryota; Metazoa; Chordata; Mammalia; Primates; Hominidae.
ACAGGUGCCUGAGAAACAAAGCCGCAGAUCGCUCCACCGCUGUGCGCAGCCCCCUGCUGAGGGGCCAGCGGCUCUCCCUGGGACCCCAGAACCUUAACACAAUUCUGAGGUGGAAGAAAUGGGGAACACCAGGCCUGGCCUCAUGGAGACCGGGGAGUCAGAACCUGAGCUCUGGCUCCUGGAGCUGCUGCGAGUGAGUGGUGGAAACCUGCCCCCUUAGAGAAGCUGCAGCUGAUCAGCAUCAUGCAAGGGACUGCUGAGAUGGUAGCAUGCUGGUAAUGAAGUGUUAUGGAGCCACUCCAUCCUUUAUUCAUCCUUUUCCUCAUACACACAGAGAGCAAAGCACAGGAACCAGCUACAGAAUUUGCAAGUGGAGAAUCCAGGUACCUUUAAAAGUCUAUUUAGUGAAAAUCUCUGGCUAUUGAUGUGACGGUUAAUUUUAUGUGCCAACUUGGCUAGGCCAUGGUACCCAGUUUUUCAUAAAAGAUCAGUCUAGAUGUUGUGAAGGUAUAUUUUUAAAUGUGAUUAACAUUUUAUUCAGUGGACUUCAAGUAAAGCAGAUUAUCCUCCAUAUAGUGGGUGGGCCUUCUCCAAUCAGGCCUUAAGAGCAAAGACCAUGGUUUCUCAAAGAAAGAAUUUUCCUCAAGACUGCAACAUAGAGACCUUGCCUGAGUUUCCAGCCUGAUACCCUGAAGAAUUUGGACUCAAGACUGCAAUAUCAGCUCUUUCCUGAAUUUCUAGCCUGCUGGCCUGCCCUACAGAUUUUAGAUCUCCCAGCCCAAUUGCAUGAGCUAAUUCCUUAAAAUAAAUAAAUCUCUGUGUGUGUAAAAAAAAAAAAAAAAA